This 253-nucleotide ribosomal RNA is filed under the name uncultured bacterium. Its description in RNAcentral is "partial 16S ribosomal RNA". It matches the Rfam family "Bacterial small subunit ribosomal RNA", at positions 524 to 776 of the family's 1533-position model. The record is from RNAcentral.
UACAGGGGGGGCAAGCGUUGUUCGGAAUUACUGGGCGUAAAGGGCUCGUAGGUGGCCAACUAAGUCAGACGUGAAAUCCCUCAGCUUAACUGGGGAACUGCGUCUGAUACUGGAUGGCUUGAGUUUGGGAGAGGGAUGCGGAAUUCCAGGUGUAGCGGUGAAAUGCGUAGAUAUUCGGAAGAACACCAGUGGCGAAGGCGACUUACUGGACACAUAUUGACGCUGAGGUGCGAAAGCGUGGGGAGCAAACAGG